GGGCCCGCACAAGCGGUGGAGCAUGUGGCUUAAUUCGAGGCAACGCGAAGAACCUUACCUGGUCUUGACAUGCCCGUCAUAGUUUUCCGAAAGGAAUUCGUCGGUUCGGCCGGACGGUGCACAGGUGCUGCAUGGCUGUCGUCAGCUCGUGUCGUGAGAUGUUCGGUUAAGUCCGGCAACGAGCGCAACCCUCGUUCCUAGUUGCCAGCGGGUAAUGCCGGGGGACUCUAGGAAGACAAACCUCGUGUAGAGGUGGGAAGGUGGGGACGACGUCAAGUCAGUAUGGCCCUUACGACCAGGGCUGCACACGUGCUACAAUGCUCGGCACAAUGGGAUGCAACGCCGCGAGGUUGAGCUAAUCCAUAAAACCGAGCCCAGUUCGGAUUGGAGUCUGCAACUCGACUCCAUGAAGUUGGAAUC
Molecule: ribosomal RNA, 420 nt
Filed under: uncultured bacterium
Lineage: Bacteria
Description: bacterial SSU rRNA
Rfam family: Bacterial small subunit ribosomal RNA
Source: RNAcentral